GUCUGUGGUUCUGGUUAGACUUCACAUUUUUAAAAAAUUGACUACAGAGUUUGGAAUCUUUUAUCUUCAAGAUGGCUUAAGGUAAUUCCCACUUGUGAAUAGAGAAUAUGGGGACAUGGAUGCCUGGAAUAGUGAAAAUGACUUGUGUCCGGUAAAGGGGUGCUGUGACACUCCCAGAAAGCCUACUAAACAUCCAAUUCUGCAGCUGAUAAAGAAAAGGGACAAGAGAGGAUUUUCUUUGUCCAUAUUCUAGUUCAGACCAAUGCACUGUAUUCGCUGAACAUUUAAAUAUGGCAUACAUGGCACUGAGUGCUCUGAGAAAAGAAAAGAUGAAGAGAAGGACACAGUUGGAGGCUUCCAGGAAUUUUUAAGUCUUUGGAGGACAAAUUCAUAAAUGCCAAGAGGUAUAAAAGGACCACCGCAAGAUGUUCCCAGAGCUAGGAUAGAAGAGGUGAAUUCCUGCUCAAAGCACCGAUCAAGGCAACAUCAAACAGGAACAUCUGCCUGGCUGCUAUGGGAGGCCAGAGGUACAGAAGGGUCAACACCCCAGGACCGGUCCUCAACCAAGAUGGUGGAGGGUAAUCCAAGUUCAUCUCACGCAGUGGUACACACCGAUGUGUGCACCACCAUCUGUCAGAGUCCCCAGCUAUAACCCAUCCCAUUAAUGUACCUUUUAUGGCCUUUCCUCACUCUAUCUCAAUUCCCUACUCUCCGUUUGGGCUUCCUGGGAUCACCUCCCAA
Suricata suricatta (meerkat) is the source of this 741-nucleotide long non-coding RNA. RefSeq lists it as uncharacterized. Lineage: Eukaryota; Metazoa; Chordata; Mammalia; Carnivora; Herpestidae. The transcript has 3 exons. The record is from RefSeq and is a predicted model, not a curated record.